UCUCUCUCUCUCUCUCCAGUUAGCCAGUCAGACAUGCAUAACGUGGGAGGCCUUUUAAAAUUUAAUUUCUUCACAAAAAUCAGAUAAUUGGAGACCUCAGAGCAUAGUAGAUAUCUCUACAGGGGUGUAAUCCAGGCAGGAUCGUUGUAAGUAAGAGAUGCCACAGACUUCUCACCUGGCUGUAGACGCCUAAAUUUGGGAUUUGGGCAGAUUUUGUUAUGAGCAAGCUGCCUUUUCACACCAGGCUGGCUGAUGGAACAAUUGCACAGCCUACAGGAAUAGUAAAGCACUGUCACAGCUAUGUCAGAGCUGUAUUCUCGUUGGAAAGCAAAGGAAGAGGAUGCAAACUCCUAACUGCAUGCUGGCCUAGCAUGCAUACAGAAUCUGAACCAGCUAUCAACAUACAAGCACAGGCCAGGGGCUCGGAAUACUGCAGUGAGCAACUCACCUCCUGGCUCCCAAAAGCCUGUCCACAAUCUACCAGGCACAGAUGUUGUCAGGGCUGCUGAAAUUCUCCAGCACUCUUCAUGUUUGUUUCAGAUAUACUGCAGCCUCAGUAACAAUUGUUACAUUUCCUCGCU
Long non-coding RNA from Stegostoma tigrinum, 581 nucleotides. RefSeq lists it as uncharacterized. The record is from RefSeq and is a predicted model, not a curated record. The transcript is spliced from 3 exons. NCBI's taxonomy places the organism in Eukaryota, Metazoa, Chordata, Chondrichthyes, Orectolobiformes, Stegostomatidae.